GAUGAACGCUGGCGGCGUGCCUAAUACAUGCAAGUCGAGCGAACAGAUGAGGAGCUUGCUCCUCUGACGUUAGCGGCGGACGGGUGAGUAACACGUGGAUAACCUACCUAUAAGACUGGGAUAACUUCGGGAAACCGGAGCUAAUACCGGAUAAUAUAUUGAACCGCAUGGUUCAAUAGUGAAAGACGGUUUUGCUGUCACUUAUAGAUGGAUCCGCGCCGCAUUAGCUAGUUGGUAAGGUAACGGCUUACCAAGGCAACGAUGCGUAGCCGACCUGAGAGGGUGAUCGGCCACACUAGAACUGAGACACGGUCCAGACUCCUACGGGAGGCAGCAGUAGGGAAUCUUCCGCAAUGGGCGAAAGCCUGACGGAGCAACGCCGCGUGAGUGAUGAAGGUCUUCGGAUCGUAAAACUCUGUUAUUAGGGAAGAACAAAUGUGUAAGUAACUAUGCACGUCUUGACGGUACCUAAUCAGAAGGCCACGGCUAACUACGUG
RNAcentral lists this ribosomal RNA (497 nucleotides) under uncultured bacterium. Its description in RNAcentral is "partial 16S ribosomal RNA". It matches the Rfam family "Bacterial small subunit ribosomal RNA", at positions 28 to 507 of the family's 1533-position model. The record is from RNAcentral.